Molecule: transfer RNA, 86 nt
Organism: Jaapia argillacea
Lineage: Eukaryota; Fungi; Basidiomycota; Agaricomycetes; Jaapiales; Jaapiaceae
Rfam family: tRNA
About the family: Transfer RNA (tRNA) molecules are approximately 80 nucleotides in length. Their secondary structure includes four short double-helical elements and three loops (D, anti-codon, and T loops).
Source: Rfam
GGUUCAAUGGUCUAGUGGUUAUGAUCUCUGUCUUACAAUCUUGUGAGCUACACAGAGGGUCUCCGGUUCGAUCCCGGGUUGAACCA